CACCGCGGUUAUACGAGGGGCCCAAGUUGAUAUUCUCCGGCGUAAAGAGUGGUUAUGGAAUAAAUAAACUAAGGCCGCACUUCCUCAAGGCUGUUAUACGCACCCGAAGAACAGAAGCCCAACCACGAAAGUGGCUUUAAAAUACCUGACUCCACGAAAGCUGUGGCA
This 168-nucleotide ribosomal RNA is filed under the name Scorpaenopsis papuensis (Papuan scorpionfish). Its description in RNAcentral is "partial small subunit ribosomal RNA". The record is from RNAcentral. Lineage: Eukaryota; Metazoa; Chordata; Actinopteri; Perciformes; Scorpaenidae.